GAUGAACGCUGGCGGCGUGCCUAAUACAUGCAAGUCGAGCGAACAGACGAGGAGCUUGCUCCUCUGACGUUAGCGGCGGACGGGUGAGUAACACGUGGAUAACCUACCUAUAAGACUGGGAUAACUUCGGGAAACCGGAGCUAAUACCGGAUAAUAUAUUGAACCGCAUGGUUCAAUAGUGAAAGACGGUUUUGCUGUCACUUAUAGAUGGAUCCGCGCCGCAUUAGCUAGUUGGUAAGGUAACGGCUUGCCAAGGCAACGAUGCGUAGCCGACCUGAGAGGGUGAUCGGCCACCCUGGAACUGAGACACGGUCCAGACUCCUACGGGAGGCAGCAGUAGGGAAUCUUCCGCAAUGGGCGAAAGCCUGACGGAGCAACGCCGCGUGAGUGAUGAAGGUCUUCGGAUCGUAAAACUCUGUUAUUAGGGAAGAACAAAUGUGUAAAUAACUAUGCACGUCUUGACGGUACCUAAUCAGAAAGCCACGGCUAACUACGUG
This 497-nucleotide ribosomal RNA is filed under the name uncultured bacterium. RNAcentral describes it as "partial 16S ribosomal RNA". It matches the Rfam family "Bacterial small subunit ribosomal RNA", at positions 28 to 507 of the family's 1533-position model. The record is from RNAcentral.